GACGAACGCUGGCGGCGUGCCUAAUACAUGCAAGUAGAACGCUGAAGGAGGAGCUUGCUUCUCUGGAUGAGUUGCGAACGGGUGAGUAACGCGUAGGUAACCUGCCCGGUAGCGGGGGAUAACUAUUGGAAACGAUAGCUAAUACCGCAUAAUAGCAGUUGUUGCAUGACAACUGUUUGAAAGGUGCAAUUGCACCACUACCAGAUGGACCUGCGUUGUAUUAGCUAGUUGGUGGGGUAACGGCUCACCAAGGCGACGAUACAUAGCCGACCUGAGAGGGGGGUCGGCCACACUGGGACGGAGACACGGCCCAGAGUCCUACGGGAGGCAGCAGUAGGGAAUCUUCGGCAAUGGACGGAAGUCUGACCGAGCAACGCCGCGGGAGGGAAGAAGGGUGUCGGAUCGGAAAGCUCGGUUGUAAGAGAAGAACGAGCGUGAGAGUGGAAAGUUCACACUGUGACGGUAUCUUACCAGAAAGGGACGGCUAACUACGUG
This 495-nucleotide ribosomal RNA is filed under the name uncultured bacterium. RNAcentral's name for it is "partial 16S ribosomal RNA". It matches the Rfam family "Bacterial small subunit ribosomal RNA", at positions 28 to 507 of the family's 1533-position model. The record is from RNAcentral.